UCCAAAUCAGUGCUGAGCCCAAACCUGGGUUA
This 32-nucleotide non-coding RNA is filed under the name Homo sapiens (human). Lineage: Eukaryota; Metazoa; Chordata; Mammalia; Primates; Hominidae. The record is from RNAcentral.